Molecule: ribosomal RNA, 497 nt
Filed under: uncultured bacterium
Lineage: Bacteria
Description: partial 16S ribosomal RNA
Rfam family: Bacterial small subunit ribosomal RNA
Source: RNAcentral
ACUGAACGCUGGCGGCAUGCCUUACACAUGCAAGUCGAACGGUAACAGGUCUUCGGAUGCUGACGAGUGGCGAACGGGUGAGUAAUACAUCGGAACGUGCCUAGUAGUGGGGGAUAACUACUCGAAAGAGUGGCUAGUACCGCAUGAGAUCUACGGAUGAAAGCAGGGGAUCGCAAGACCUUGUGCUACUAGAGCGGCCGAUGGCAGAUUAGGUAGUUGGUGGGAUAAAAGCUUACCAAGCCGACGAUCUGUAGCUGGUCUGAGAGGACGAUCAGCCACACUGGGACUGAGAAACGGCCCAGACUCCUACGGGAGGCAGCAGUGGGAAUUUUGGACAAUGGGCGCAAGCCUGAUCCAGCAAUGCCGCGUGCAGGAUGAAGGCCUUCGGGUUGUAAACUGCUUUUGUACGGAACGAAAAGCCCCGGGUUAAUACCCUGGGGUCAUGACGGUACCGUAAGAAUAAGCACCGGCUAACUACGUGCCAGCCGCCGCAGUAA